Molecule: ribosomal RNA, 253 nt
Filed under: uncultured bacterium
Lineage: Bacteria
Description: partial 16S ribosomal RNA
Rfam family: Bacterial small subunit ribosomal RNA
Source: RNAcentral
UACGGGGGGGGCAAGCGUUGUUCGGAAUUACUGGGCGUAAAGGGCGCGUAGGCGGCCUGCUAAGUCGGACGUGAAAUCCCUCGGCUCAACCGGGGAACUGCGUCCGAUACUGGUGGGCUCGAAUCCGGGAGAGGGAUGUGGAAUUCCAGGUGUAGCGGUGAAAUGCGUAGAUAUCUGGAGGAACACCGGUGGCGAAGGCGGCAUCCUGGACCGGUAUUGACGCUGAGACGCGAAAGCGUGGGGAGCGAACAGG